Molecule: ribosomal RNA, 479 nt
Filed under: uncultured fungus
Lineage: Eukaryota; Fungi
Description: eukaryotic LSU rRNA
Rfam family: 5.8S ribosomal RNA (bases 75-228)
Source: RNAcentral
AGUCUUUUCAGUAUUCUUGCGGCUCAUUUUAUUAACACCAGUCAAAGUAUGUAACGAAAUAUCGAAAUAAAUAAAACUUUCAACAACGGAUCUCUUGGCUCUCGCAUCGAUGAAGAACGCAGCGAAAUGUGAUAAGUAAUGUGAAUUGCAGAAUUCAGUGAAUCAUCGAAUCUUUGAACGCACCUUGCGCUCCCUGGUAUUCCGGGGAGCAUGUCUGUUUGAGUGUCAUGAACUCUUCAACCCAUCAAUUUCUUGUAGAUUGAAUGGUGUUUGGAUUUUGAAUGUUGCUGGUCUUUAGACGUAGCUCGUUCGUAAUACAUUAGCAUCUCUAAUUCGAACUCGGAUUGACUCAGUGUAAUAGACUAUUCGCUGAGGACACUUUUAUUAGUGGCCGAAUGAGAUAAUUGUAGACGCUUCUAACCCCUAUAGUCAACUUUGUAUUAGACCUCAGAUCAGGCAGGAUUACCCGCUGAACUUAA